This is a long non-coding RNA of Actinia tenebrosa (Australian red waratah sea anemone), 201 nucleotides long. RefSeq lists it as uncharacterized. The record is from RefSeq and is a predicted model, not a curated record. NCBI's taxonomy places the organism in Eukaryota, Metazoa, Cnidaria, Anthozoa, Actiniaria, Actiniidae.
GGAUGACUCUUUCUCCAGUGUCAUGUUAUUCUCUGCCACAUGUAGAGACUCAAGAGAGCUGGGGUGCUAUACCAAGGGCUUCUUCUGGAGAUAACAUACUGAAGUACUGUUAAAGAUAAACAAAGACAUGGCCUAGAAAGUGGAAAGAGUUAUACCACACCACAAAUAAAACCACCACAAGUAAAGGAUACGGUCCAGCAA